CCUACGGGAGGCAGCAGUAGGGAAUCUUCCGCAAUGGACGAAAGUCUGACGGAGCAACGCCGCGUGAGCGAUGAAGGCCUUCGGGUCGUAAAGCUCUGUUGUCAGGGAAGAACAAGUACCGGAGUAACUGCCGGUACCUUGACGGUACCUGACCAGAAAGCCACGGCUAACUACGUGCCAGCAGCCGCGGUAAUACGUAGGUGGCAAGCGUUGUCCGGAAUUAUUGGGCGUAAAGCGCGCGCAGGCGGUUCCUUAAGUCUGAUGUGAAAGCCCCCGGCUCAACCGGGGAGGGUCAUUGGAAACUGGGGAACUUGAGUGCAGAAGAGGAGAGCGGAAUUCCACGUGUAGCGGUGAAAUGCGUAGAGAUGUGGAGGAACACCAGUGGCGAAGGCGGCUCUCUGGUCUGUAACUGACGCUGAGGCGCGAAAGCGUGGGGAGCGAACAGGAUUAGAUACCCUGGUAGUCCACGCCGUAAACGAUGAGUGCUAAGUGUUAGAGGGUUUCCGCCCUUUAGUGCUGCAGCAAACGCAUUAAGCACUCCGCCUGGGGAGUACGGCCGCAAGGCUGAAACUCAAAGGAAUUGACGGGGGCCCGCACAAGCGGUGGAGCAUGUGGUUUAAUUCGAAGCAACGCGAAGAACCUUAC
This 645-nucleotide ribosomal RNA is filed under the name bacterium SC1-17. RNAcentral's name for it is "bacterial SSU rRNA". It matches the Rfam family "Bacterial small subunit ribosomal RNA", at positions 338 to 974 of the family's 1533-position model. The record is from RNAcentral.